GUGCCAGCCGCCGCGGUAAUACGUAGGGGGCAAGCGUUAUCCGGAUUUACUGGGUGUAAAGGGUUCGUAGGCGGUUAUUUAAGUCAGAUGUGAAAGCCCGAGGCUCAACCUCAGGACUGCAUUUGAAACUGGAUAACUAGAGUACAGGAGAGGAAAGCGGAAUUCCUAGUGUAGCGGUGAAAUGCGUAGAUAUUAGGAAGAACACCAGUGGCGAAGGCGGCUUUCUGGACUGUAACUGACGCUGAUGAACGAAAGCGUGGGGAGCGAACAGGAUUAGAAACCCUGGUAGUCC
RNAcentral lists this ribosomal RNA (292 nucleotides) under uncultured bacterium. Its description in RNAcentral is "partial 16S ribosomal RNA". It matches the Rfam family "Bacterial small subunit ribosomal RNA", at positions 505 to 796 of the family's 1533-position model. The record is from RNAcentral.